GGUCAUCAUUGUUGAUGGCUUGUAUUUUUGGGCUGCAGUUUGUAUAAUAACAAUGAAAGCUGCCACUUGUGGAACAUCUACUCCAGCAGGCACCUUCCCUGCAGCUGCUUACAUAAGCACAAGCCCAGGCAGGCCUGAGCAUCUUCCUGGUCGAUGAGUGCCUCGGGACAGGCCCUGCAACCAGUGAGGUGGGAGCGCUCACAACAGGUGUGUGCCGGUCCCGACUGCGCGUGCGCUCUACAGAAAUCCUCCUGCUUCUUUCUCCUCCUUCCUCGAGUACCGGGCAGAACUCCUCGCCCAUUGGGGGCCUCAACUAGACUCUCUGGUCUCCAUCCCACGGCUGCUCUGUGUGUCCAGUUACUGCUGUCACUCCAUGUCUCAGGGGCAGCUUUGGAAGAUGGCAAGUCCCAGAAACCCACAGAAUGAAUUUCAAUAGCACUCCCACGGCUCUAUGAAACUGUUAAUGAAGGAAAUUGUCUUGGGCAGGAAGACUUCACAUCACAGGCUUUGUGACUGCUUCAUUUAUUCAUUUUUGCACAUGCAAUCACUAUUUAGUGUGCAUUAUACAUUGGUUAAGAAUCUGGAUUGUGGAGUCCAAAUGCCUAAAUUCGAAUUCUGACUCCUUCAGUUUGAAUUUUGUAAGCCUUUUCUUUCCAUGUCACUUUCCCAACCUGGAAAACAGGAAGAACAGAUCCUGGAGCUAAGGUGAGGUUGGAGUGGGGAAAUAUGCUGACAGGGCCUGCAACAGAGCUUAGCCCAGCGAAUGCCAUCACGUCCCGGGCCAAGAGAGGCCAAGUCCGAUGCAGCGUGCCUCCUGCCCUCAGGGUGCUCCCAUGCUGGUAAGGAGGCCCAGGCUGUUCUGUUCCCCCAGCCAACCAGCCAGGACAUGGCUAGAUGAGGCUGGCACCCUUGGCCUGGCCAAGCAGAGUCAAAUCACAUCCAGGAGUCAGCAGUCAGCUCUAACCCUUGGGCACGAAGACUUGUGUGAACUCUUGCUGCAGAGUACCCUCCUCUGAUUGGGUUCUUCUUGCUGAAGCCAGAAACAUCUGUCUGGCCAUGGCAGGACUGACUUUUUGGGUGCCACGAGCUGGCUCUAACAAGGGCUCAUCCUCCCAGCAGGCUGGCUGAUGAUCAAGUCUCAGUGCGCAGAAGGCUGACCCCAGGCAGCACUCAGCGGACAGCAGAGCUUGAGCUUGGGCAGAACAAGGCUGGAGUCUCAUUUGUCUGCCUGAGAUGGAGACUUUCAGAGCCAGGCAGCUUGAAAAAAUGGAGUGACAAAAGGAGCCAGCCAGCAAUUAGGUAAUGCCAGCCUGCCUGCUGGGCAGCUGGGCACAGACCUCACUGCAGAGAACACUGGGAGGCCGGAGAGAAGCACUCGGGCUUGGGGACACAGAUGCACAACCAUGUGUGAGGGCAUCAGCCGGGUUGUGUCUUUGAGAAGGACUUCAGUCAAGAUACACAGGCAGCCAUGCAGACUUCUAGAACUCAUUGUCAGGUGGAUAUAGAGAUCACGGCCUCCAGAGCAGAAGGUCUCACUAUGCAGUUCGGACUCGUAGUGAUCCUA
Molecule: long non-coding RNA, 1564 nt
Organism: Octodon degus (degu)
Lineage: Eukaryota; Metazoa; Chordata; Mammalia; Rodentia; Octodontidae
Exons: 4
Source: RefSeq, a predicted model, not a curated record